GACGAACGCUGGCGGCGUGCCUAAUACAUGCAAGUAGAACGCACAGUUUAUACCGUAGCUUGCUACACCAUAGACUGUGAGUUGCGAACGGGUGAGUAACGCGUAGGUAACCUGCCUGGUAGCGGGGGAUAACUAUUGGAAACGAUAGCUAAUACCGCAUAAUAUUGAUUAUUGCAUGAUAAUUGAUUGAAAGAUGCUAUUGCAUCACUACCAGAUGGACCUGCGUUGUAUUAGCUAGUAGGCGAGGUAACGGCUCACCUAGGCGACGAUACAUAGCCGACCUGAGAGGGUGAUCGGCCACACUGGGACUGAGACACGGCCCAGACUCCUACGGGAGGCAGCAGUAGGGAAUCUUCGGCAAUGGACGAAAGUCUGACCGAGCAACGCCGCGUGAGUGAAGAAGGUUUUCGGAUCGUAAAGCUCUGUUGUAAGAGAAGAACGGGUGUGAGAGUGGAAAGUUCACACUGGGACGGUAUCUUACCAGAAAGGGACGGCUAACUACGUG
Molecule: ribosomal RNA, 505 nt
Filed under: uncultured bacterium
Lineage: Bacteria
Description: partial 16S ribosomal RNA
Rfam family: Bacterial small subunit ribosomal RNA
Source: RNAcentral